AGACGUCUACAUUAGAUACCCGUGUAGUCCCAGCCGUAAACUAUGCGCGUUAGGUGUAUCGGUGACCACGAGUUACCGAGGUGCCGAAGGGAAACCGUGAAACGUGCCGCCUGGGAAGUACGGUCGCAAGGCUGAAACUUAAAGGAAUUGGCGGGGGAGCACCACAACAGGUGGAGCCUGCGGUUUAAUUGGACUCAACGCCGGACAACUCACCGGGAACGACAGCAAUAUGUAGGCCAGGCUGAAGACCUUGCCUGAAUCGCUG
Molecule: ribosomal RNA, 265 nt
Filed under: uncultured archaeon
Lineage: Archaea
Description: partial 16S ribosomal RNA
Rfam family: Archaeal small subunit ribosomal RNA
Source: RNAcentral